This 72-nucleotide transfer RNA is filed under the name Actinomycetes bacterium. RNAcentral describes it as "Actinobacteria bacterium tRNA-Trp". It matches the Rfam family "tRNA". Rfam says of the family: Transfer RNA (tRNA) molecules are approximately 80 nucleotides in length. Their secondary structure includes four short double-helical elements and three loops (D, anti-codon, and T loops). Further hydrogen bonds mediate the characteristic L-shaped molecular structure. tRNAs have two regions of fundamental functional importance: the anti-codon, which is responsible for specific mRNA codon recognition, and the 3' end, to which the tRNAs corresponding amino acid is attached (by aminoacyl-tRNA synthetases). tRNAs cope with the degeneracy of the genetic code in two manners: having more than one tRNA (with a specific anti-codon) for a particular amino acid; and 'wobble' base-pairing, i.e. permitting non-standard base-pairing at the 3rd anti-codon position. Lineage: Bacteria; Bacillati; Actinomycetota; Actinomycetes. RNAcentral also lists the same sequence under 2 other names. The record is from RNAcentral.
GGGGGAGUGAGUCAGCGGUUACACGCAUGGUCUCCAAAACCAUGAACCUGGGUUCGAAUCCCAGCUCCCCCG